RNAcentral lists this unclassified non-coding RNA (245 nucleotides) under plant metagenome. RNAcentral's name for it is "partial contains small subunit ribosomal RNA, internal transcribed spacer 1, and 5.8S ribosomal RNA". The stretch from base 1 to 53 matches the Rfam family "Eukaryotic small subunit ribosomal RNA", at positions 1779 to 1831 of the family's 1831-position model. The record is from RNAcentral.
GGAAUAAAAGUCGUAACAAGGUCUCCGUUGGUGAACCAGCGGAGGGAUCAUUACAGGACUCGCAAGACUCCUUCACCCUGUGAACCUCACUACAAGCACGUUGCUUCGGCGGGUGUCCCGGCGGGGGUUUUCCCUCGCCGGGGCGCACAGCCCGCCGGCAGCCUACUAUACUCUGUCUCUUUGCGUUGGCAUCUCGAGAAAAAACAAACAAGUUAAAACUUUCAACAACGGAUCUCUUGGUUCUG